Molecule: ribosomal RNA, 300 nt
Filed under: uncultured Salinimicrobium sp.
Lineage: Bacteria; Pseudomonadati; Bacteroidota; Flavobacteriia; Flavobacteriales; Flavobacteriaceae
Description: bacterial SSU rRNA
Rfam family: Bacterial small subunit ribosomal RNA
Source: RNAcentral
CGCGUAUACAAUCUACCUUUUACAGGGGCAUAGCCCGGGGAAACCCGGAUUAAUAUCCCAUGGUAUCAAGACAUGGCAUCAUGAUUUGAUUAAAGCUUCGGCGGUAAAAGAUGAGUAUGCGUCCUAUUAGUUAGUUGGUAAGGUAACGGCUUACCAAGGCAGCGAUAGGUAGGGGUCCUGAGAGGGAGAUCCCCCACACUGGUACUGAGACACGGACCAGACUCCUACGGGAGGCAGCAGUGAGGAAUAUUGGACAAUGGGCGAGAGCCUGAUCCAGCCAUGCCGCGUGCAGGAAGACGG